Molecule: long non-coding RNA, 300 nt
Filed under: Homo sapiens (human)
Lineage: Eukaryota; Metazoa; Chordata; Mammalia; Primates; Hominidae
Description: non-protein coding lnc-ZFP36L1-6:1
Source: RNAcentral
AUGCCCAAGGGGAAGGUCAGCUCUGCUGAAGGAGCCGCCAAGGAAAAGCCCAAGAGGAGAUCGGCGCGGUUGUCAGUUAAACCUCCUGCAAAAGUGGAAGCGAAGCCGAAAAACGCAGCAGUGAAGGAUAAAUCUUCAGACAAAAAAGUGCAAACAAAAGGGAAAAAGGGAGCAAAGGGAAAACAGGCCGAAGUGGCUAACUAAGAAACUAAAGAUUUACCUGCAGAAAACGGGGAAAUGAAAAGUGAGGAGAGUCCAGCCUCUGAUGAAGCAGGAGAGAAAGAAGCCGAGUCUGAUUAA